ACAUGCCUACAACAUAGCGUUAAUGCAUCGGAUCCCAUUAGAACUCCGCAGUUAAGCGCGCUCAUUCUAGAGUAGCACUGGAAUGGGUGACCACUCGAGAAAUCUUAGUGUUUUACAUGCA
Molecule: non-coding RNA, 121 nt
Organism: Picea glauca (white spruce)
Lineage: Eukaryota; Viridiplantae; Streptophyta; Pinopsida; Pinales; Pinaceae
Source: Rfam